UAUUGGACAAUGGGGGGGAACCCUGAUCCAGCGACGCCGCGUGAGUGAAGAAGCGCCUCGGCGCGUAAAGCUCUGUCAGCAGGAACGACGAUGACGGUACCUGAAGAAGAAGCCCCGGCUAACUACGUGCCAGCAGCCGCGGUAAUACGUAGGGGGCAAGCGUUAUCCGGAUUUACUGGGUGUAAAGGGAGCGUAGACGGCGGGGCAAGUCUGGAGUGAAAGGCCGGGGCCCAACCCCGGGACCGCUCUGGAAACUGCCCGGCUGGAGUGCGGGAGAGGUAAGCGGAAUUCCUAGUGUAGCGGUGAAAUGCGUAGAUAUUAGGAGGAACACCAGCGGCGAAGGCGGCUUACUGGACCGUGACUGACGUUGAGGCUCGAAAGCGUGGGGAGCAAAC
RNAcentral lists this ribosomal RNA (395 nucleotides) under uncultured bacterium. Its description in RNAcentral is "bacterial SSU rRNA". It matches the Rfam family "Bacterial small subunit ribosomal RNA", at positions 362 to 773 of the family's 1533-position model. The record is from RNAcentral.